GUGUGUGUUCUACGUCGAUCAGAAGCUCCCAAAGGAGCCAAACCCUAGCUCAAGCUUAUUUGCUCAAAUUGAAAGGGGAAUUCAACCCAAAUCUAAUGCAUGUACCCGAAUUCUUAGUCAUCUAGCCCUAAAGAUCACUUGGAACCACACUAGCAUGGACCAAGCAUGGAAGGCUAACGGGUCAAGAUGAGGCAAGCAAGCGGGUAUGAACACGGAUGCACAAGGUGAUACACGGACUUCUUCUGCUACUUAGGAGGUGAAGCGGACGUAAAUCGAGUCAAGAGCAAGGAUUG
RNAcentral lists this long non-coding RNA (293 nucleotides) under Helianthus annuus (common sunflower). RNAcentral's name for it is "sRNA HanXRQr2_Chr03g0101491". The record is from RNAcentral. Lineage: Eukaryota; Viridiplantae; Streptophyta; Magnoliopsida; Asterales; Asteraceae.